AUUGAACGCUGGCGGCAGGCCUAACACAUGCAAGUCGAGCGAGCGGCGGAUGGGUGAGUAAUGUAUGGGGAUCUGCCCGAUAGAGGGGGAUAACUACUGGAAACGGUAGCUAAUACCGCAUACUAUCGGAUGAACCCAUAUCGGAGUAGCUAGUUGGUGGGGGAAAGGCUCACCAAGGCAACGAUCCGUAGCUGGUUUGAGAGGACGACCAGCCACAAUGGAACUGAGACACGGUCCAGACUCCGACGGGAGGCAGCAGUGGGGAAUAUUGCACAAUGGGCGAAAGCCUGAUGCAGCCAUGCCGCGUGUAUGAAGAAGGCCUUCGGGUUGUAAAGUACUUUCAGCGGGGAGGCGUUACCCGCAGAAGAAGCACCGGCUAACUCCGUGCCAGCAGCCGCGGUAAUAC
Molecule: ribosomal RNA, 406 nt
Filed under: uncultured bacterium
Lineage: Bacteria
Description: partial 16S ribosomal RNA
Rfam family: Bacterial small subunit ribosomal RNA
Source: RNAcentral